GAUUUUCUGUAAUCUGCAUAUCCAGCAAUGCAAUUAAUGACCACUUGGUUCCGUUGGUGAUCCUGGAACAAAAGGAACAAAACCUCGUCCACCGAAAACGGGACGCAUGAAUGCGUUGUCAAAUUUUCUCCAGUAACGAUGCACAGUGUGAGAUGGUGUUGAUAGGAGCAUACGCAAACUGUGGGGACGGGGUACAUUUGGGCCCAGAUCAGCUUCUGAGUCUUGUGUACUUUCAAGAAGUGGCACGAUGAAGGAUUUUGGGGUCGUCGGUUCAGAAGAGAUCAUUCUGGUCAAGUGUUUUGGUGAGGGUUGCAAUAAUCUGAUUAAAGGUUUUGUCAUCAACCCGAAUACCCCUGUGCUGAAAAGGACAACAGUGAUAGUACUUGUGAUCAUUAUGGCAUUGGCACGUAACUGAGUAUGGCCUCCCCUGGUA
Molecule: unclassified non-coding RNA, 433 nt
Filed under: Hevea brasiliensis (rubber tree)
Lineage: Eukaryota; Viridiplantae; Streptophyta; Magnoliopsida; Malpighiales; Euphorbiaceae
Source: RNAcentral